RNAcentral lists this ribosomal RNA (357 nucleotides) under uncultured Hydrogenophilaceae bacterium. Its description in RNAcentral is "bacterial SSU rRNA". It matches the Rfam family "Bacterial small subunit ribosomal RNA", at positions 1019 to 1381 of the family's 1533-position model. The record is from RNAcentral. Lineage: Bacteria; Pseudomonadati; Pseudomonadota; Hydrogenophilia; Hydrogenophilales; Hydrogenophilaceae.
GCAAGGGAGCCCGGAGACAGGUGCUGCAUGGCUGUCGUCAGCUCGUGUCGUGAGAUGUUGGUUAAGUCCCGCAACGAGCGCAACCCUUGCCAUUAGUUGCUACGAAAGGGCACUCUAAUGGGAACUGCCGGUGACAAACCGGAGGAAGGUGGGGAUGACGUCAAGUCCUCAUGGCCCUUAUAGGUGGGGCUACACACGUCAUACAAUGGCGUAUACAAAGGGAUGCGAAAGGGCGACCUGGAGCAAAACUCACAAAGUACGUCUCAGUUCAGAUUGGAGUCUGCAACUCGACUCCAUGAAGGCGGAAUCGCUAGUAAUCGCGGAUCAGCAUGCCGCGGUGAAUACGUUCUCGGGUUU